AUCCAGCUGACGAGUCUCGCAUAGGACGAAAUGUGCGUCAAAAUGGAU
This 48-nucleotide non-coding RNA is filed under the name Schistosoma margrebowiei. The record is from RNAcentral. Lineage: Eukaryota; Metazoa; Platyhelminthes; Trematoda; Strigeidida; Schistosomatidae.